This is a long non-coding RNA of Passer domesticus (house sparrow), 1069 nucleotides long. RefSeq lists it as uncharacterized. The record is from RefSeq and is a predicted model, not a curated record. The transcript has 2 exons. NCBI's taxonomy places the organism in Eukaryota, Metazoa, Chordata, Aves, Passeriformes, Passeridae.
GUGUCAGUAUGGCCUCCGUGGUUGGAUUAAGUCCCACAGUGUCACAAUGGCCCCUUGGUUCCAUUAAGCCCCACAGGGUCACCAUGGUCUCCUGGUUACAGGAGGCCCUGCAGUGUCACAAGGGCCCCUUUGGUUCUAUGGAACCCACUGGGUCAGAUUUGCCACUGGGCAGGGUCAGCACCCAGGACACAAACACCAACUAAUGGAAUUGUGUAGUUUAUAUAAUGUAUGUCUGCAAGAAUUUACAAAAGUUGAAGCUCAGCAAAGCACAUAAUCAUUAGGAAAUUAUUACAAAAGGAGCAGCUCAGCAAUGCACGCAACCAUGACCACCACAGAUUGUUUGCAGUGAUUAAGAAAGAUCCAGCACCAGUUCCCCUCAGGCUGUGCCAUCCCCCAGAUCCACACAGCAGCAGGGGGAAGCUGUCCCAGCCAAGGGCUGCAGAGCCACUCCUGGACACUGGGAAUUCCUGCAGGUGCCUCCAGCCACAGAAGAGCCAUCAUCUGCUUUCCAACCACCGUGACAGACAGACUGAGAUGGGUGAAGCCUCCCUCUCAAGGACUGAGACAUGAAAUCUCUCUAUGGAGAAGCUCCCCUCUGCCAAGGAGAGAGACUGAAACCUGUAACACGGGGGAGGUGUGUGGGGGAGCCAACCUGACCAAAAGUGAGAUGUUUGCCUGCAGGUGUGGCCAUUGGACCAAGAAGACAAUGGUUCUCACCUAUUGCUGAGGACACAGACUGGCUGUACCUUCUUUUCCCCUCAGUGAUCAAUGGACUUCUUCUUUAUUGGAUCUGUUCCCCCUCAGUGAUUUCAAGAUCUGUUCCCUCCUUAGGAAUGGACUAUACUAGAACCUUGAGUUAACCAGGUGUUCUUAAAUUCUUCCUCACAUGACAAAAGGGAUGUAUUAGCCAGACCAUGAGGAUUUUGUCUCUCUGUUGGUAGCAAUAUUCUGCCUCCUCUCUCUCUCUCUCUCUCUCUCUCUCUCUAUCCUUUAUCUCUUUUCUAAUCCUUCUAUUGCAUUUGCUGUGGGCACUCAAUAAAAGGUGCAUUUGUGUUGAUGAAUACUGAAA